GUCCUCUCUUUCCCUCGUGCUUCCUAGUGUAUGGACCCCACCGCAGCUGGCCUGAGUUGUCUGCACGUCGAUGUUUUCCCAGCAGCAGAGUGUAUGGACCCCACCGCAGCUGGCCUGAGUUGUCUGCACGUCGAUGUUUUCCCAGCAGCAGAGGUGAGCACGCCCGCCACAGGGACAAAGACAGCUCUGUUCCCCAGGGGAUUGGGGGGACUCUUGGGGACACCUCCCUUUUUCGCAAUCAAUCUACCAGCCUUAGGUCCGAUUUCCGGACCAGCUGUAUUGAGGGAACGGAAGAGGCUCCAAGGUAAAGACAAGGACGGCGUUUCAGGAGACCUCAGGCGAGAAACUGCCCAGGGAUUAACACAGCUGCUCACCAAAGGAUCACCGUUUGACCACCUUCCAUGCACGACCCUCAGGCACUUUCCUCCUGGCACCAGAGCCCAGGUCAGCCUGGGGUCUCCCAAUCAACAGCUCGACCGCAGACACCAGCCAACAGCCCAACAAAACCCCAAACCCAAGGGGAAAAUGGCAAAAGACCUCAAGAGACAUUUCCCGAAACAGACAUGCAGAGGGCAAAAAGCACUGGGAGACAUGUGCCCCGCAUCCCUCAUGAGGAGAGACAUGCACGUCAAAGGGACUCUGAAGGACCAACCCACCUCUCUCUGAAGGGCCACCAUUAGGAAGUCUACAAGGCACACAUCCCUGAGAGGGUGUGGACAAGAAGAUGCCCUCCUCCACGGUGGGUAUUUUUGUACGUGUGGACAACCGCGAUGGACCACACGAUCGAGGGAAUCCACAAAAAUCAAUAGCGGACGACCUCAGCACCCAGGCCUCCCACUCUUGGUCCUAUUUCCGGAAUUGGGUCUUUGAAAAAUGUAAAAGCCCCCGCUAUGUUCAUGCAGCACUCUUCCCAAUAGCCAGCCAUGGAAAACAACUCAAUGUCCAUCGAGAGAUGAUUGGAUUAGGAAGAGAGUGGAUAUGUACACAUUGGAAUGCUCCUCAAACAUUGAAAAAAAAAAAAGCAGAAACCCCGAAAACCCCAGAGCAAGAGGAAAAUGCCAUUCGCAGCCAUGUAGGUGGCACGAGAAGCUAGGUGACACCUCGUUUCAUACUAGGUGAACUAAGUCGGAACACGAACGACACAUACCAAGGGCUAUCCCUUCUAUGUGGAAGCUAGCAAAUGGAACCAACGAACCUUUCUAUGUAGAAGCAGCUCAUAGACUGGAAAACAUCGCUGUGGUUGCCAGAUGGUAGGGGGAGGCUGUGGGAAGGCCUGGGAUUUGGGAGUGGUAGAGUCAACCUCUUGUGCUUGGCAUGUGUUAGCAAUGAAGUCCUGCUCUAUAGCACAGGGAUUAUACCUGGCCACUUCUGUGGAACCAAAAUGGAAGACACUGCGACCAAAAGAAGAUGCAUAUACAUGUACGACUGGAUCGCGUUUGUGCUCAAGUGAAACUGGGCACCAUACAUCCGUGAGAAUGGAAAAUAAUCACCGAUAAAAUCCCACACCCUUAGUGGCUUGGGAUUCCCCACAGCAUGUGCUAUGGUACAUAGCCCUGCCUCUCAGGAGAAGCCAGGCGGGCUCCGUUGACCCUGACAAGGGGCACUGGCACUAUGAGCUGGGACCCGACGUGAUGACCAAGCGUGGAUAAAUUUCUUUCUGUACUAG
This 1666-nucleotide long non-coding RNA is filed under the name Sus scrofa (pig). RNAcentral's name for it is "lncRNA (ENSSSCG00070009935.1)". The record is from RNAcentral. Lineage: Eukaryota; Metazoa; Chordata; Mammalia; Artiodactyla; Suidae.